GACGAACGCUGGCGGCGUGCCUAAUACAUGCAAGUAGAACGCUGAAGGAGGAGCUUGCUUCUCUGGAUGAGUUGCGAACGGGUGAGUAACGCGUAGGUAACCUGCCUGGUAGCGGGGGAUAACUAUUGGAAACGAUAGCUAAUACCGCAUAAUAGUAGAUGUUGCAUGACAUUUGCUUAAAAGGUGCAAUUGCAUCACUACCAGAUGGACCUGCGUUGUAUUAGCUAGUUGGUGAGGUAACGGCUCACCAAGGCAACGAUACAUAGCCGACCUGAGAGGGUGAUCGGCCACACUGGGACUGAGACACGGCCCAGACUCCUACGGGAGGCAGCAGUAGGGAAUCUUCGGCAAUGGACGGAAGUCUGACCGAGCAACGCCGCGUGAGUGAAGAAGGUUUUCGGAUCGUAAAGCUCUGUUGUAAGAGAAGAACGAGUGUGAGAGUGGAAAGUUCACACUGUGACGGUAUCUUACCAGAAAGGGACGGGUAACUACGUG
RNAcentral lists this ribosomal RNA (495 nucleotides) under uncultured bacterium. RNAcentral's name for it is "partial 16S ribosomal RNA". It matches the Rfam family "Bacterial small subunit ribosomal RNA", at positions 28 to 507 of the family's 1533-position model. The record is from RNAcentral.